RNAcentral lists this non-coding RNA (21 nucleotides) under Arabidopsis thaliana (thale cress). Lineage: Eukaryota; Viridiplantae; Streptophyta; Magnoliopsida; Brassicales; Brassicaceae. The record is from RNAcentral.
UGGAUUGAAGAUGUAAGCCUC